This is a small nucleolar RNA of Otolemur garnettii (small-eared galago), 87 nucleotides long. The record is from Ensembl. NCBI's taxonomy places the organism in Eukaryota, Metazoa, Chordata, Mammalia, Primates, Galagidae.
AUCCUUUUGUAUUUCAUAAACUACUGACUGUGUUUUCACACUUAUGAGCAAACCUUGUUAGGAUGUGGAUACAUUACCUGUCUGAUG